Molecule: ribosomal RNA, 500 nt
Filed under: uncultured bacterium
Lineage: Bacteria
Description: bacterial SSU rRNA
Rfam family: Bacterial small subunit ribosomal RNA
Source: RNAcentral
GACGAACGCUGGCGGCGUGCCUAACACAUGCAAGUCGUGCGAGAAAGCCCUUCGGGGGUGAGUACAGCGGCGGACGGGUGAGUAACACGUGAGUGAUCUACCCGGCGGCGGGGGACAACCCAGGGAAACCUGGGCUAAUACCGCAUACAGCGGAGGGAGUAGGUGCCCUUCGUGAAAGCUGGCCUCUCCAUGGAAGCUAGCGUCGCCGGAGGAGCUCGCGGCCUAUCAGCUUGUUGGUGGGGUAACGGCCUACCAAGGCUAUGACGGGUAGCUGACGUGAGAGCGUGAGCAGCCACACUGGGACUGAGACACGGCCCAGACUCCUACGGGAGGCAGCAGUGGGGAAUGUUGCGCAAUGGGCGAAAGUCUGACGCAGCGACGCCGCGUGGGGGAGGAAGGCCUUAGGGUUGUAAACCCCUGUCAGGUGGGACGAACCCCAGGUCGGUGAAUAAUCGGCUCGACUGACGGUACCACCAGAGGAAGCUCCGGCUAACUCCGUG